This 453-nucleotide ribosomal RNA is filed under the name uncultured bacterium. RNAcentral describes it as "partial 16S ribosomal RNA". It matches the Rfam family "Bacterial small subunit ribosomal RNA", at positions 28 to 507 of the family's 1533-position model. The record is from RNAcentral.
GAUGAACGCUGACAGAAUGCUUAACACAUGCAAGUCAACUUGAACUUCGGUUUGGGUGGCGGACGGGUGAGUAACGCGUAAAGAACUUGCCUCACAGUUAGGGACAACAUUUGGAAACGAAUGCUAAUACCUGAUAUUAUGAUUUUAGGGCAUCCUAGAAUUAUGAAAGCUAUAUGCGCUGUGAGAGAGCUUUGCGUCCAUUAGCUAGUUGGAGAGGUAACGGCUCACCAAGGCGAUGAUGGGUAGCCGGCCUGGGAGGGUGAACGGCCACAAGGGGACUGAGACACGGCCCUUACUCCUACGGGAGGCAGCAGUGGGGAAUAUUGGACAAUGGACCAAGAGUCUGAUCCAGCAAUUCUGUGUGCACGAUGAAGUUUUUCGGAAUGUAAAGUGCUUUCAGUUGGGAAGAAAAAAAUGACGGUACCAACAGAAGAAGUGACGGCUAAAUACGUG